RNAcentral lists this ribosomal RNA (305 nucleotides) under uncultured bacterium. RNAcentral describes it as "bacterial SSU rRNA". It matches the Rfam family "Bacterial small subunit ribosomal RNA", at positions 335 to 656 of the family's 1533-position model. The record is from RNAcentral.
UUUCCUACGGGACGCAGCAGUGGGGGAUAUUGCACAAUGGGGGGAACCCUGAUGCAGCGACGCCGCGUGGGUGAAGGAGCGUUUCGGCGCGUAAAGCCCUAUCGGCAGGGAAGAAGGAGGACGGUACCUGACUAAGAAGCCCCGGCUAACUACGUGCCAGCAGCCGCGGUAAUACGUAGGGGGCAAGCGUUAUCCGGAUUUACUGGGUGUAAAGGGAGCGUAGACGGCGCUGCAAGUCCGGAGUGAAAGCCCAUGGCUUAACCAUGGUACUGCUCUGGAAACUGUAGAGCUUGAGUGCGGGAGGG